Molecule: long non-coding RNA, 2048 nt
Filed under: Salmo salar (Atlantic salmon)
Lineage: Eukaryota; Metazoa; Chordata; Actinopteri; Salmoniformes; Salmonidae
Description: lncRNA (ENSSSAG00000120320.1, ENSSSAG00075020983.1)
Source: RNAcentral
UGGCGGACAAUUUCUCUCGCCUUGGAUCUGAAACCAGUAGUAACCACCAACUUCAAUCAGUUAUUAUGACUAACAAUUGAAAUAGGAAUCUGACAUUCCCGCCGAGGAGGGCAUGCUAGCUAGCUACCGUGUUUUGAUUCAUAUCAGGCAUUUUCUUAUGAAACAGCUCAACUAGCUCGACUCGGGAGCUCAUCAUGCCAGGGGACAUACUGUAGGCUUCCGGAGCCAGCUAGUUAUUAUUCCACCAUGGGCAACAACAACUAGUUACCAGUUCGUUUAACUAAAUAUGUUCCAACUCAUAGCUAGUUUAUCCAGUGACCACCGCAUUUAGAAAGAUAGCAACUGACUGAACUCUAGCAAGCUGGCUAGCUAGCAUGCUAGCUCACACUGGCCAUGUAGUAGCCAAUACCAGACCGGUUGUGGAAAGGCUAAAUGAUAAACACUAGGCCUACUGUAAAACCCUUCAUGUUAACUUUACAUGACACCUUCCAUUGCUUUUUGACCAUCCCUGAAGGAAUUAGGCCUACAAUUGCAAGAUCAUACAAAGUACCCCUCCCUCUCUCGGGGUCUGAGGGGAGGGUUCAUCUCCCUGGACACCAUGUCUGUCAGCCCCACAGGGCCAAUCGGUUGUAUAAACCCAGACACAGCGGCUACGCCUUCCUUUGAUGUCAACCAACGAGACCAGAAAUGUGUAUUCUGUGCCUCGAGGGCAAAGCCUUCCCACAAAACCAGUGUUAACCAUCAUGCAUCACUGGAGCUCCUGCAUGUCUGCAUAUUCUACCACCGCUCUCCUCUCUCAGACUUCUCAGUCUCUGUUCACACUUUAUGUAGUGUCAUCUAGUAUGGAAAGGAGGCAACAAUGGCUCUCCCGACUGAAGAGUGAAUUCGGCAACAGCCCCUUGGUCUCCAACGUGGCUUUCGGCUUCAUCCUGAUGGGCUUGGAGAAGCUGGUUGAGCUGGAGUUCGAGUGUCCGUGCGACCCCAAAUGGAACGGGCUAUUUUCUUCCGCCUUCUUCGUCAUUCCUGCUAUCAUGGCCUUCAUGCUGAUGCUAAUCAUCCAGGACUGCAGGUACGACCUGAGCGGCUGCCCCAGGACAGUGUCCAUCUCCAGCCUGGUUCCGCCCAUCGUCUGGCUGAUCCUGCUCUUCCUGGAUGGACAGUACUUUGCGUGUGCGCUAACAGACUGGAACGGCAGGUUUGUGAUUGUUGACAAGGCGGCUCCUCAGAAGUGGUGUGAGCCUCCUCAUGACGAUGGCACGCUGCAGGAUCUCAUGGUGCACUCUCAGGAAUUAUUUGUGGAGUCUCAGGUUAUUGGUAUUGCUCUGUUGAUAUUCAUCUGUGUGGGACUCAUAGUGUACGUGAUCAGAGAGAGCUGCCAGCAGGAAGAGGAACUCCAGGAAGUCAACAACACUUAUGAGAUGUAUGAGAUGACAUGACUUCGACAACAUCAUUAAGCCAAAACCAGUUUUUUGAAGCUAUGGGAGAGAAUUCAUAAUGUUUUCUCUUUCAAAUGCCUCAAGACUGCAAGACCUUGUCUCUCCAGCAACUUCUAAAGGGAAGGGAACACUGCCGGUACCUCCCUCUCCAACCAAGGAGCAUGAACAGAGGUGCAAACAGAGGAAAGGAGGAAAUUCACCAACUCUUGGCGAUAGAAAUACUUGUUCUUGUUAAAACCAACACGUUUUGGCCUGUAGCCUUCUUCAGGGUCCAGUGACUUUUACCUUUCCUGCAAACUGUACAUGAAUGUUAUACUUUUGAAAAUGAUACUUUUCUGAUGAACAGUUUUUUAAAGUAGCCGGAGGGUGGGGGUAUUUUUGUUGGUCUAUCUGCGCUUUAGAAAUGUUCUCUGUAGGUGUCAAUGUGUCCCAAUUUUUAUAAAUAUUAAAAUGUGUUAAGGUAUGGUCACGUUUGUAUGUAAGGUAGUUAUAGCAACUAAUAAAAUAAUGUUUUCCUACUUUUUUGAUAGAUUUGGUCAGGUUGCGUUGACAUCAAAUUGCCCAGCUAUCAUUUAUACUAAACAAUCAAAUAGGAGCUUUUACAAACAUUGG